GUCCUCUUGAUAAUAUUAUGAGGUCCGGCCUGCUCACUGACGAGGUUUAUUAAAGAGCCGCGGUAAUUUGACCGUGCAAAGGUAGCAUAAUCAUUAGUCUCUUAAUUAGGGGCUGGAAUGAAUGGCUUGACGAGAAAUCAACUGUCUCUUGAUAAAUUUUUGAAUUUAACUUUUGAGUCAAAAGGCUUAAAUUUUUCUUAAGGACGAGAAGACCCUAUAGAGCUUGACAUUUUAUUUAUAUAUAAUUUUUAGUUAGUCUUUUUAUAUUUAUUGAUGAUGUUUUGUUGGGGUGACAUGAAAAAUAAUUAAACUCUUCAUUAUUAAAUCAUUGAUUUAUGUAUAUAUGAUGAUCCAUAAUUUAUGAUCAUAAGAUUAAGUUACCUUAGGGAUAACAGCGUAAUUAUUUUCGAGAGCUCAUAUCGACAAAUUAGAUUUCGACCUCGAUGUUGGAUUAAGAAAAAUUUUGGGUGCAGGAGCCCAGUGAUUAGGUCUGUUCGACCUUUAAAUUCUU
This 511-nucleotide ribosomal RNA is filed under the name Xenocatantops humilis. Its description in RNAcentral is "partial 16S ribosomal RNA". It matches the Rfam family "Archaeal large subunit ribosomal RNA", at positions 1911 to 2666 of the family's 2987-position model. Lineage: Eukaryota; Metazoa; Arthropoda; Insecta; Orthoptera; Acrididae. The record is from RNAcentral.